CCUACGGGAGGCAGCAGUGGGGAAUAUUGGACAAUGGGGGCAACCCUGAUCCAGCCAUGCCGCGUGUGUGAAGAAGGCCCUCGGGUUGUAAAGCACUUUCAGUGAGGAAGAACGCCUGGUGGUUAAUACCCAUCAGGAAAGACAUCACUCACAGAAGAAGCACCGGCUAACUCCGUGCCAGCAGCCGCGGUAAUACGGAGGGUGCGAGCGUUAAUCGGAAUUACUGGGCGUAAAGCGCGCGUAGGUGGCUUGAUAAGCCGGUUGUGAAAGCCCCGGGCUCAACCUGGGAACGGCAUCCGGAGCUGUCAAGCUAGAGUGCAGGAGAGGAAGGUAGAAUUCCCGGUGUAGCGGUGAAAUGCGUAGCGAUCGGGAGGAAUACCAGUGGCGAAGGCGGCCUUCUGGACUGACACUGACACUGAGGUGCGAAAGCGUGGGUAGCAAACAGGAUUAGAUACCCCUGUAGUC
This 465-nucleotide ribosomal RNA is filed under the name Vreelandella stevensii. RNAcentral describes it as "partial 16S ribosomal RNA". It matches the Rfam family "Bacterial small subunit ribosomal RNA", at positions 338 to 795 of the family's 1533-position model. Lineage: Bacteria; Pseudomonadati; Pseudomonadota; Gammaproteobacteria; Oceanospirillales; Halomonadaceae. The record is from RNAcentral.